AGAGUUUGAUUCCUGGCUCAGGACGAACGCUGGCGGCGUGCUUAACACAUGCAAGUCGAACGGUGANGUCAGAGCUUGCUCUGGCGGAUCAGUGGCGAACGGGUGAGUAACACGUGAGUAACCUGCCCCCGACUCUGGGAUAACUGCUAGAAAUGGUAGCUAAUACCGGAUAUGACGACUGGCCGCAUGGUCUGGUCGUGGAAAGAAUUUCGGUUGGGGAUGGACUCGCGGCCUAUCAGGUUGUUGGUGAGGUAAUGGCUCACCAAGCCUACGACGGGUAGCCGGCCUGAGAGGGUGACCGGCCACACUGGGACUGAGACACGGCCCAGACUCCUACGGGAGGCAGCAGUGGGGAAUAUUGCACAAUGGGCGCAAGCCUGAUGCAGCAACGCCGCGUGAGGGAUGACGGCCUUCGGGUUGUAAACCUCUUU
Molecule: ribosomal RNA, 431 nt
Filed under: Clavibacter sp. pfB4
Lineage: Bacteria; Bacillati; Actinomycetota; Actinomycetes; Micrococcales; Microbacteriaceae
Description: bacterial SSU rRNA
Rfam family: Bacterial small subunit ribosomal RNA
Source: RNAcentral